AUGCCGCUUAUUCAGUUGCAGCUUGCAAGUCCUACAAUGAAGCAUACAUCCUUCCUUCAACAAUUUGUCUUCCUGUUUGGUCUUAUCGUCACAACCUUGGUCUCUGGUGAUGAUCAAUUUCUCUUCUCCGGCUUCAGCCAACCCAGCCUAACCCUGGACGGAUGUGCCAUGGUCACAGAUGGUGGCCUUCUUGAUCUGUCCAAUGGCACGACUGUUCUCAAGGGCCAUGCCUUCUAUCCCACUCCUCUGCACUUCCGCAAGUCACCCGGUGGUAAAGUUCAAUCCUUCGCAGUCCAUGUAGUCUUCAGCAUCUUCAUCUCUUACGCAGACUUGAGCGCUGAUGGCAUGGCUUUCUUCAUUGCACCCACAAAGAAUUUCUCUGAUGCACGGGCAGCAAAGUACUUUGCCCUCCUCAACGAGAAGAACAAUGGCGACACAAGCAAUCACAUCUUCAUGAUCGAACUUGACACCUACAGAAAUUCUGAGCUCCAAGACAUUGAUGAAAAUCACAUUGGUAUCAAUAUCAACAGUGCAGUCUCCAUGCAAUCCAGUGCAUCUGGCUUCUACGAAGACAAGGGUGGUGCCUUCAAGAACAUGACGCUGAAUGGCAACCAGGCUAUGCAGCUCUGGGUAGACUACAAUGAGGGUGAUACGCAGAUCAAUGUGACCUUGGCUCCGAUCAACGUGGGAAAACCAUCAAGGCCACUGCUCUCUGCAACCUAUGAUCUCACAACUGUACUCUCGGACUCAGCUCAGUACAUUGGAUUCUCAUCCAUGGCUACUCCCAUCAACACCCGUCAGUACGUGAUGGGUUGGAGCUUUGGCAUGAAUAAACCAGCUCUAUCCAUUGACAUCUCCAAGCUUCCGAAGUUGCCUCGUGUUGGUCCCAAGGCCCAAUCCAAGCUCUUGGUGAUCGUCCUACCAAUAGCCACUGCAACAUUGAUCCUCUCUAUGGGCACUCUUGUCACUCUAGUUGUGCGAAGGCGACUGAAGUAUGCUGAGGUGCGUGAGGAUUGGGAGGGAGAAUUCGGUCUGCAUCGGUUCUCCUACAAGGAUCUGUUCCAUGCUACGAGAGGGUUCAAGAACAAACACCUACUUGGAGAAGGAGGUUUCGGGAAAGUAUAUAAAGGAGUGCUUCCAUCGUGUAAUGUGGAGAUUGCUGUGAAGAGGAUGUCUCAUGAGUCAAGACAGGGCAUGAAAGAAUUUGUCACCGAGGUUGUUAGCAUUGGUCGACUCCGACAUCGCAACGUUGUGCAAUUACUUGGCUAUUGUCGGAGAAAAGGUGAACUGUUUUUGGUUUAUACUUACAUGCCAAAUGGUAGCCUUGAUAAAUAUCUACAUUGUGAAGAGCAGAAUGCCAUUUUGAAUUGGGUUCAAAGGUUUCGAGUUAUCAAAGGCAUUGCUACCGGCUUACUCUAUCUCCAUGAGAAGUGGGAGAAAAUUGUAAUCCAUAGAGACAUCAAAGCAAGCAAUAUACUGCUGGAUGGUGAAAUGAAUGCGCGACUUGGUGACUUUGGCCUUGCAAGGUUAUAUGAUCAUGGCACUGACCCACAGACCACACAUAUGGUUGGUACCAAGGGGUACCUAGCCCCCGAGCUACUGCGGACAGGGAAGGCAUCCCCUCAUACAGAUGUUUUUGCCUUCGGCAUGUUCCUUCUCGAGGUUGCUUGCGGUCAAAAACCUGUCAAGAGAAAUGCAGAGGGAAAUGAAGUUUUCUUGGUAGAAUGGGUACUCGAGCAUUGGAACAAUGGGUUGCUUAUUGAGACAGUGGAUGCUAUCCUCCAGGGUGAUUACAACAUUGAUGAGGCAUACCUCGUGUUAAAGCUGGGACUUUUGUGCUUGCACCCAUUUCCUAGUUCGAGGCCCAGGAUGCGGCAAGUUAUGCAAUACCUCGACGGUGAGAUGCCACUGCCCGAGCUGAGGAAGACGGAGCUGAGCGUGAACAUGGCGGCCUUGGUGAAAAGCAAUGGACCGAACUCGGUCACCUUGUCAUACCCGCAGAUCACAUCGAGCUUCUGCACGAUAUCUGGCCUCUCAGGAGGAAGAUGA
RNAcentral lists this ribosomal RNA (2049 nucleotides) under Triticum aestivum (bread wheat). Its description in RNAcentral is "partial small subunit ribosomal RNA". The record is from RNAcentral. Lineage: Eukaryota; Viridiplantae; Streptophyta; Magnoliopsida; Poales; Poaceae.